UCUUUCUAAAACCCUAGAGAGAGAAGCUCCCACUUCUCUCUACAAAUCUCGCCGGAGAAGAAGGUGGGGGAGGAGCGGCCGGAGCAGCUCCAGCGUGGUGGUCGGCCGGAGCGCCGCCGCGUUGGAGUUUUUUUUGCUUUUUUUUCGAAUUUUUUUUUUACAUCAAAACACUCCUCUUCCCUUCCUCUACUCGAAUCCGGACCCAUUAUUUCGAAAACAUGUGCCAAACAUCCUAGAUCUACAAAUGAAAGUGUGAAAGUUUUUACCUCUUUUUCCGAUGCGGUUCCGUUUCCUACUUGCUCCGGUUCGGUUCUUUCUUGCCUUGCUCCGGUUCGGUUCUGCUCUCUUUUCCGGUUCGCCUCUUCCUCUUUUUUCCGGUUCGGUUCUUCCUUGGUUUGGGAUGAUGAUGAUUUGUGGUUGUAUGGGCUGAUUUGAGGUUUUGUUUAAGUUUUGUGUUGCUGGAUUUUGAUGAAUCUAUGAAUGUUCUUCAUGAGUUCAUGUUAUUUCUUUGUAAUUUUAGUGUUUGAUCUGAAAACUGGUUGGAAAAAUGGAAAAAAUAGGGUUUGUGAAUUGAUGCUGAUUUUUUUUUGACGUGAUUAGUGAUUUUUUUUUUGGCCCCAUUUCUCAAUGAUUGACAGUGUAUUUAUAGAGACAAACUAGGGUUGGCUCAGGCACAGAACUAAUACCAAAAUGCCCCUGCUGAAAACUUGGAGACAAAGUUUAAUCAAAUAAAAGAUAAUAAUAAUAAUAAUAAUAAUAAUAAUAAAAUAAAAGAAAGGAGGAAAGAAAAGAGGGAAGGGUCACGUGAGUGACUCCCCUUUCUUUGUUGUUUUUUUCCUUUUUUUUUUCAAAGAAAAAUAAUAAAAAUGACAUAAUAAUAAACAAAACAAAAAAAAAGAAAAGUAAAAAUGACAAAUAAAUGAGUUUUAAAUGGUAAAAGAAAACGAGUAAAAAAUUUUAAACGGGCCAAAUUUGGGGUAUGACAGAUGCCCCUAUUUAAGUUUGUUCGUCAUGAAGGUUUUGAAAGGGAAACUUUUAAACCAAAGGGGUCGAAGAGACUUAAAUACAUAAAAACGCCAAUUUUGGACCGUUUGAAAUGCCAGGGAUGUGAUGCUGAUGAAUGUGAUGAUAUGACUGAACAUGAUGCAAGUAUGAAUGUAAAGAUAAUGCAUAAAGACUGACUGGGGUUCAAUUGGAUAGGUAUCACUGGGGAAAGAACUGAUAAAUAAUGCUUAAAGUCGCCGUGAGAUAGCUUGAAACGACUAGAGUAUGAACGAUGAUGUUUAUUAACGUUGCUUCAAGAUAAAGUAAGGAUAUGAUUAGCCGACGAGUGGCGGAAUUAAAGACAUGAUUAGCCGACGAGUGGCGACAGUAAAGACAUGAUUUAGCCGACGAGUGGCGAAAGUAAAGACAUGAUAGGCGACGAGUGGCGAAAGUAAAGACAUGAUUAGCCGACGAGUGGCGAAAGUAAAGACAUGAUUAGCCGACGAGUGGCGAAAGUAAAGACAUGAUUUAGCCGACGAGUGGCGAAAGUAAAGACAUGAUUUAGCCGACGAGUGGCGAAAGUAAAGACAUGAUUAGCCGACGAGUGGCGAAAGUAAAGACAUGAUUAGCCGACGAGUGGCGAAAGUAAAGACAUGAUUAGCCGAGUGGCGAAAGUAAAGACAUGAUUUAGCCGACGAGUGGCGAAAGUAAAGACAUGAUUAGCCGACGAGUGGCGAAAGUAAAGACAUGAUUAGCCGACGAGUGGCGAAAGUAAAGACAUGAAAGUAAAGACAUGAUUAGCCGACGAGUGGCGAAAGUAAAGACAUGAUUAGCCGACGAGUGGCGAAAGUAAAGACAUGAUUAGCCGACGAGUGGCGAAAGUAAAGACAUGAUUUAGGCGACGAGUGGCGAAAGUAAAGACAUGAUUUAGCCGACGAGUGGCGAAAGUAAAGACAUGAUUAGCCGACGAGUGGCGAAAGUAAAGACAUGAUUUAGCCGACGAGUGGCGAAAGUAAAGACAUGAUUUAGCCGACGAGUGGCGAAAGUAAAGACAUGAUUAGCCGACGAGUGGCGAAAGUAAAGACAUGAUUAGCCGACGAGUGGCGAAAGUAAAGACAUGAUUAGCCGAGUGGCGAAAGUAAAGACAUGAUUUAGCCGACGAGUGGCGAAAGUAAAGACAUGAUUAGCCGACGAGUGGCGAAAGUAAAGACAUGAUUAGCCGACGAGUGGCGAAAGUAAAGACAUGAAAGUAAAGACAUGAUUAGCCGACGAGUGGCGAAAGUAAAGACAUGAUUAGCCGACGAGUGGCGAAAGUAAAGACAUGAUUAGCCGACGAGUGGCGAAAGUAAAGACAUGAUUUAGGCGACGAGUGGCGAAAGUAAAGACAUGAUUUAGCCGACGAGUGGCGAAAGUAAAGACAUGAUUAGCCGACGAGUGGCGAAAGUAAAGACAUGAUUAGCCGACGAGUGGCGAAAGUAAAGACAUGAUUUAGCCGACGAGUGGCGAAAGUAAAGACAUGAUUAGCCGACGAGUGGCGAAAGUAAAGACAUGAUGGACCGACAGGGUUUGCUAACAUUGUGGGAUAGCGCACACACGGUAAAAAAAUAAAGGCAAGACAGACCAUUAGCAUUUGCUAAAAGCAAAGCCUCCGGUGAAAGUAAAGACAAUGUAAAGCUUGGUAUCAGGGGAGUGACUUGAUAAAGAUAAAGUUGAAGGGAACAAGGAAUUUGUCUAAAGACAAAGGGGAAUUGUAUAGACUGAUUACUGGUGAGACCUGCCACAUGUUUGAUUUGAUGAUAUUUUGGAGUUAGACACACUGGGGGUGAUAUCUAAGGAUAUUGAAAUAAGUCAUUGGGUAAAAAUGCAACUAUGUAUGAAUGAUAUUUAUAUGCGUGCUAUGUAUGCAUGAAUGAAUGAGUAUGUAUGAGACUCAUAUGACGGCAUAAUGGUAAGAUUGUUGAGGUAGGACUAGGCAGGUCUACAAGGAGAACGGCCCGGCAUCACUGGACGAACACUCGAAACCUUCAUUGGGGAUAAAGCCACGGGGAAUGAAUCAACCAUUGUUGGGGUACAGCCCUUAAACAUACUGCUGGGGUAAGUCCUCACAAACCGGGGAAGAAGUCGCCAUUUCACCAAUGCAACACCGUAUUGUCUUGUCUGAAUAGUCAUUGCUUUUUGUAUAUAUUUUUGAAGUCCCUAACUUUUGCCUGGAUCGUCCUUUCGGAUUUUGGAUCCACCGGGGAGGUAUUUUUUUUUUUUUUUUUUUUUUUUUUUUUGACAGAGGUCAUCUCUCAGCUUUUGGUCAUGCCAACCUUGCAGAGUUUAACUGUCUUUGAGACGGAUGAUGAUGUAUGUUUCACCCACUCAUAAAUUCAAAGAAGAUGUACUUGUUGUUUAUGCUUUUCAGAAGACAUGAUAAAAGUUUUUUUUUUUUUUUUUUUUAAAAGAUUUUUUUUGAAUUUUUUUGCUUUAGGUAUUAACAUCAAAAAUAGAAGAAAAAUUUGCAAACAGAAUAAAUGAGAAUUUUAAAUAAAUGGGCACAAGCUCAAGUUAAUGUAAAUGGAAUGGUGGCCUGCCAAAGGCGUGGUUCCACAGAUUUUAAAAGUUUGGAAAAAUGGUAAUUAUAUGGAAAAGGUACGUUGAACACAAUAACCACUGUUUCCUCUACCAACUUUGAAUUCCACUGUUUUGAGUCUUUGAUUUGCAGACGCUUCAGAUCGGAAGCCCUUUAACAGCUAAGAUGCCCCAGAUGAAUCAUAUCUGAUUUGAUGCAAUUACCUUGCCAUGAGUCGGAGGUCUUUUGACGGCUGAAAUGCCCCAUAUGAGUCAUGUCCGACCAGAUGCAGUUACUUUGUCAUGAUCCUUAACUUUUGCAUAGAUCGCCUUUGCGGGUUUCAACCUAUCAGGAUAAUCAUUUUUUUUUUAUAUGUCUCUAACUUUUGCAUGGGCCGCCCUUUUGGAUUUUCAGUCCAUCGAGACGCUCUUUUUUUGCCUAAGCCGCCUUUUCCGGUUUGCGACUUAUCGAGCUUUUUUCAUUUUAACAAAGUAUUUCUUGACUGCAUCGGUAUUCACAGGACAUACAAGUUUAACCUCAUGCUUUGUAUUAGGCAUUCAUUGCUCCUGGAGCUUGUUUAAAUCAGAUAGCAUAACUUUUGAGCACAAGGCCACUCUCUUGACAUUCAUGGGGACGAGCCUUCUCUUGUUGAAAACAUGCUUUUGAUACAAUUGUUCACGCCAUACGGCAAUAACACUUUUAAUUUCAAUCAAGCUUAGCUUUCAUUGGAACUCCCUUUGACGGGACUUUGACCUUCAUGUGAGGCAUUGCCUUUAUGUUGUAUACUGAGGGAUGGAGGGGGGGUUGCCCCUGCUGAAGUGUUCACUUGAAGUACAAUAUCCUUGCAAGGAAAAUGGUGGCAUCUCGUGCCAGUCUUUGUACAUGAAAGUCCUCUUCUAGACAAUCUCUUUUGAUAUUUGCAGCUUCGACGGCCAAGAUGCCCCAGUAGGCGAGAAAUCUCAGUGGAAGCUUCUUCAUCAUCCUCUUAUUCAGCCUCGGAUACAAGAAACUCAAGGUCGAGAGGGAGUAUAUGAUUAAAGUGUUCAACGGGUUUAUUAAUGCAUGAUUUGAUUAUUGAUAUAAACAUUAUGAUUAUGCAGAUAUGUGGAAAUGAUUUAAAGAAAAAAGAUUCUUUUUUGUUUUUGUUUUUUGUAUUACCAUUUUUCCAGAAAAAGCACAAAAUAAAACAAAGUCGGGAUCAAGCGACCUUUUCAUUAAUGAUGAAAAUACGAAAAGCAUAGAGCCCUAAACAAGUUCACUUCCGUCUCGGGUGGGACGAAAGGAUUAAAAAAAAAACAUAAAGCAAUAAACAAACAUAUUAAUUGAACAAAAGAGUAGUAGAAAUAAACAUUAACCAAUACCAAAUUGCAACUAAACACUCCACAUGCCACCACAAGGUCCAAAGAUCCGAUAAAGGAUUAACUUGCACAUUCAGAUCCAAACUCUUCGAAAGGUAUGAGAUCGUCUUCAAUCAGUUUCUGGACCGCAAUCUUCAAAGAAAAACAGCGCUCAACAUCAUGACCUUGUGCCCCUUGAUAGAAAACACAAAAGAGAUCAGGUCUCCAUCGAGCCGGCAAUUUCUUCGGUAUCGGAGGAGGUGGCCUGGUUUGGACAAGGUUCCUCUCAAGCAAAUAGGGAGGCAACUUUGCAUAUUUAAUUGGAAUCGGAUCAAAUUUAAUUCUUGGAGCCUGUUGUCGAGGCUGUUGUUGAUAUUGCUGAAACUGGGGCUGAUAACCCGGAUUGCAGACAACAUUCAUGAUGGGCAAAACAGUGGUAACAGAGUGAGAAUCCAGAUACUGUUGUUGACUUGGUCGAAACUGGGGUUGAUAACCCGGAUCUUGAACAACAUUGGUGAUGGGUCUAACAGCGGCAACAGAGUGAGGAGCUAGAUGUUGUUGUUGAAGUAGCACUUUUAUAUCUUGGUCAUCGAAGGACCAGACGUUAUUUUCAAUCAACUUCUGAACUUCUUCUUUCAAAGGGUAGCACUGCUCAGUGUCAUGACCUGGUGCCCCUUGAUGGAAUACACAGUUGAGGUCAGGGCGAUACCAAGGUGGCAGCGAAUUCGGCACCCGAGGAAGUGGUAGGGUUUGAACAAGGUUCUUCUUAAGCAAAAUGGGAAGCAAAUCCGCAUAUUUCACAGGAAUCGGGUCACACUGAGAUGCUUUUUGGACCUGAUUUUGCGGAAUGAACUUCUGAGGAACCUGAUUCUGAGGGAUAGACUGCCGAGGAGCCUGUUGUCGAGGCUUUUGAGGGCACAUUGACUGAUAUGGUGAUUGAGGCCUUUGUUGGACAAGCGGUGGAUCGUUUGUAGCCAUCAAUGAAGAUACAAGGCUAGUUAACUUCUCUACUUCAGCCCUAAGUGUUGUUACCUCUCCACGAAGCUCAUGAACCUCUUGCUCAAGCCGGUCCAUUUUUCCUGUUUGCACGAGUGUCUGCAUGUGUGAGCCGAACUUGGAUGAAGACAUCUGACCACUUUACUAAUGGAUGGACCUUUUUAUGGAGAAGACACAGUGUGAGAUACAGACUAGAAACUAUGAAUGCAAAAUGAUGCAUGAUAUAUGUAUGCAAAAAUGUAUGUUUUUUUUUUUGAAGGACUAAUCAAAGUUACUUUGUAAACAUGGUUUCAUUUGAAAAUUGUGAAGAUAUUGCAAAAGGUAAGAUCAAAACCAAGGAAAAAGUUCUUAACAAAAGUUAAAACUUAGUUAAGAUUUUUUUGAAGUUGUAUCUCUUGGUGUUCAUCCUUACAAGGUCCAUACCCAUGAUGUUUGCAAAAAAACUUGUGUAAGUCCUUCAAUUUUUGAUGGAAAAAGUAGUUUAUGAAUGAAUGCAUGUAUGCAUGGUUAUGCUAAAGUACAUAGAAUACAUGGUGAUGUUAAGUCCACAUGUUGGAGUCGAGGGUAACAACGCCAUUUGGUAAGGACUAUGGUUUCAAAUGUACCUGUAUCACGGGUUCUGCCAAGGUUCCCAAAGUCCUCAACCACUUCCGAAUAUUCUCGGAUACCGAGAAAACACCCGGUCCGACAACGUUCGUAGAAAAGUCUCAUUUGAGUGUAGUAUCGCGUAUCGACUAAUUCCGAGAAAACACCCGGUUAGCCACCGCACUACGUCCUAAAAGGCCAAGAUGGGUUAAGGGUUACCAAAAGUUCUUAGCUUCAUUGGAAAAUUAAAAGUAAUAAAGUCUAAACGUGAAAACACACGCCGACAUUUAUUACUUCAAUCUCCUUUGCUAAGUGUGGUUAUCUCACGUGUGACAAGACACGAGUAUACUCUCGGUAUGCCACUAUGAGUCUACCACUCCUAUCUUACAUUUCCCUCAAGCUCGGGUGUAGAGCUUAUUUUCUCACCCCUCACGUAAUAAGGUAAACAUAUAAGCAAAUAUUUACAAGAUAUAAACAAAUAAUAAAGCACAAAAUAAAGAAAGUAAGGUGGGUUUAACCCGCAUAGGACCUAAAUCCCCAGUGAAGUCGCCAUUCUGUGCUCCUUGAUUUUCGGAUAUCAAACCUUUAAUUGAUUUGAAUCGUCGAUCUUUGAACUCUCGAUUCUUAUUCUUGGGAAGGGAAAAAAUGAGUAAAAACCCUUUUCGAAACUUUGGAUUCGGGGGUUGGUUAUGCGAAGGGAAGGUGCUAGCACCCUAAGCAUCUACGAUAUUCCGUAGGAACCUCUUACCUAAAUUAUCUUGUGCUAAACUACUUGUUCAUUUGAAAAAUUAUUGCCUAAUGUCUAAGUGAAAGAAUGGAGGGAGAAGAAGUAUGUUUUUGGUUAUUUUUAUUUGAUUUGGAAGAACAAGUCCUCUGCCUACGUACCCUUUUGGGAAAGGGAUCAAAACCGACGUAGUUCCACUCAAAAAUUUCUUUAGUGGAUUAGGUUGAUUUUAAGAUUUUUCGAAAUAGGUUUUAAGAAGAGAAAGAGGCCUCAAGGCAUGAGAUAAAAGAAAUGAGUGAGGUUAAUUGAUUUUAAAUUUUGAAAAUGAUUGAAGUUGAAUUAAAAUUGAUUGAGAGUUUGAUUAAGAAAAUAAAGGAAAAAUGUUAUUAAGAAAAUGAUUUUUGAAGUUUUGCAUAUUUGACUUUUUUGAGAAAAUGAUUUUUCUAAACUAACGUAACGUCAUAAAAACUAAAGGAAAGCGAUAAAUAAAAUGUGGUAGUGUCGGUGCAAGUGUCGGUGCUUGUGUUACCUACAUUAUUACAUCAAUUCCUAAAUACAACCCUAAGGCCUUUAUGCCAAAAUAAAAAUGCAAGAAAUAAAAUUACAUCAAUUUCCUAUUUAUACACACUAAGUCAAUGACAAAAUAAAAUGAUGGGAAAAUUAAAGGUGCAUGCUAUGAUUCAAGACAAAAAUUAAAUAGUUAGUAAUCACAAGAAAUAUUAUGAUGAAUGAGACAUACGAAAUAAUAAGCAAGAAUUAAGACAAAUAAUAAUUAAGAUCAUCAUAUAAGAAAUAGAUAAAAAAAAAAAAAAAUUAAAAGGAAACAAUUAGGAUGGAUUUUUAAAAUUAGAGAAAAUUAAAAUAGUGAGAAAAAUAUUUUUUAGAAUUUUUCUAAACACAAAAAUGCCAAAAAGUGUAAAAAACAGUAUUUAAAAAACAAAGAUAAUUAAAAAUAAGAAAUAAUAAAACAUUGGCUCAGCAGGAUUAAUUCUGGACCAUUGGAUUAAAUCAAUGGUCCAGAUUCAGUCACUGGAUUCAUCACGGCCAUUGGAUCCAACGAUCCAAGAGUCACAAAAACAACAUAGAAACAAAGGGAUUAUACUGAAAACACAGUGACCGUCAGAUCAACGAUCUGACGGUCCAAACAGAAACCACACCACACUCACGCAGAAAAAACACCCACCUGAUCCAAGAUCAAGGUACACAGGAGCCCUCAGAUCAAGGAAUGGUCCAGAUCCAAGGGCUGUAACGCGAUGGAGCACUGAAUUGCAGUAUGCGCAUAUGCACAAGACCAAACCAAAAAAAGAAAGCACUAUAAAAUGGUUUUAACAAAAAAAAACACAACACAAAUCACACAAUAACCUCUUUCUAAAACCCUAGAGAGAGAAGCUCCCACUUCUCUCUACAAAUCUCGCCGGAGAAGAAGGUGGGGGAGGAGCGGCCGGAGCAGCUCCAGCGUGGUGGUCGGCCGGAGCGCCGCCGCGCUGGAGUUUUUUUUGCUUUUUUUUCGAAUUUUUUUUUUACAUCAAAACACUCCUCUUCCCUUCCUCUACUCGAAUCCGGACCCAUUAUUUCGAAAACAUGUGCCAAACAUCCUAGAUCUACAAAUGAAAGUGUGAAAGUUUUUACCUCUUUUUCCGGUGCGGUUCCGUUUCCUACUUGCUCCGGUUCGGUUCUUUCUUGCCUUGCUCCGGUUCGGUUCUGCUCUCUUUUCCGGUUCGCCUCUUCCUCUUUUUUCCGGUUCGGUUCUUCCUUGGUUUGGGAUGAUGAUGAUUUGUGGUUGUAUGGGCUGAUUUGAGGUUUUGUUUAAGUUUUGUGUUGCUGGAUUUUGAUGAAUCUAUGAAUGUUCUUCAUGAGUUCAUGUUAUUUCUUUGUAAUUUUAGUGUUUGAUCUGAAAACUGGUUGGAAAAAUGGAAAAAAUAGGGUUUGUGAAUUGAUGCUGAUUUUUUUUUGACGUGAACAGUGAUUUUUUUUUUGGCCCCAUUUCUCAAUGAUUGACAGUGUAUUUAUAGAGACAAACUAGGGUUGGCUCAGGCACAGAACUAAUACCAAAAUGCCCCUGCUGAAAACUUGGAGACAAAGUUUAAUCAAAUAAAAGAUAAUAAUAAUAAUAAUAAUAAUAAUAAAAUAAAAGAAAGGAGG
Molecule: long non-coding RNA, 9322 nt
Filed under: Medicago truncatula (barrel medic)
Lineage: Eukaryota; Viridiplantae; Streptophyta; Magnoliopsida; Fabales; Fabaceae
Description: long non-coding RNA (MTRU_LNC000488)
Source: RNAcentral